UAAUGUCGCAAGUGCCGCAGUGAACGGGAAUGCUGGUGAGAAUCCAGCAGCGGCCCUCGCCACUGUAUGUUCAUGUAACUUCAUAAACCCCAGCCUGCAUGCCACUGUCACCUGACGCACCGAUGGGAAGGCGUGCAGUACCCCCAGGGGAAAGUGAGCAAAGCCAGGAGACCGGCUGCGGUGAGUCACAACCA
Molecule: non-coding RNA, 194 nt
Filed under: Corynebacterium durum
Lineage: Bacteria; Bacillati; Actinomycetota; Actinomycetes; Mycobacteriales; Corynebacteriaceae
Also listed under: 1 other name
Source: RNAcentral